UUUUCUAUCAGGAAACUCUAAGGAAACCAUGUAAGCUCUCGUGGUUUGUGUUGAAUGGCAAUAAAAGACAGCACAUGCAUAGUUCUGCCCAUCUUCCUUGCUCCAGGUGUAAUUGUAUAUUUCUGCGACUGAGUUUGAUUUUCCACUUCCUUGGAGAUUGCCUGGACAUUCUUUCCAAGUACGGAAGUGCUGAAGUCAAUCAUUUCUAGCAAAGUUGCACAAUGUUUCUCCUCUCCUUUAAUUCCAGGUUCUUCACAAUCUUUCAUUGUAUUCUUAAUUAUCUCAGCUUCCAUUGAUCCCUGUUUUACUGAAAACUGGUUAUAAAUCUCUUGCAACUUGUUAGAUGAAAAGGGUAUUUAAUUGGCAAUUUGAA
This 373-nucleotide unclassified non-coding RNA is filed under the name Hevea brasiliensis (rubber tree). Lineage: Eukaryota; Viridiplantae; Streptophyta; Magnoliopsida; Malpighiales; Euphorbiaceae. The record is from RNAcentral.